Pelobates cultripes (western spadefoot toad) is the source of this 389-nucleotide non-coding RNA. The record is from the annotation of a GenBank genome assembly. NCBI's taxonomy places the organism in Eukaryota, Metazoa, Chordata, Amphibia, Anura, Pelobatidae.
CCACGUGUUCCUGGAGGGGCCUGCUGGCUAGGCUCCUGCUCAAAGACUAUGGGACAUGUUAAAAGUUGACUUCCAUGGAAAAUCCGAACCACUGAACCAAUCUGAGUGAUUUUUGGAUAUGAUGGUCACUCAGAUCAGGGCUAUCCAUGGAUGUGACUCCUAAAGGGUUUCCAUGGAUUUUGGGGGACUUUUAGGGAUGUUGUAAAAUUGUGUGUUAUUAGGUACCUGGAGAAAAUUGAGUUUGUACAGUUCCUGACUCAAUUAGCUCUCAGGCACAGAGGAGUAGUAUGUUGCUUGUAUGUGCCUCUCCUCCUUUUUCCUGUCCUGUUGUUUCCCCAGCAGGGCAAUGUCCCAGGGACACUGCCAGACUAGUUUAAACUACCAGCUUU